CAGGGAGGUAGGGAUGAGGGCAAGAUUUCAUGCACCAGCUGAAUUUUGUGUAGUGAUGGCUUUUUCUUGGGUUACGUCCUGCGUUUGCAGAGGAAUCAUCCAGGAGCAGCAGCCGGAGGAGAAAUUGGCGGAAGUGGACCUGAGCCACCUGGAAAUCCUUCUAAGCAGACAUGAACAGUCUUCAGCUUUCUGACUCCCACGUAACUGCCUCUGCGCUUCUAGAGGAAUCAUGGAGGAGCAGCAGCCGAAGGAGAAGGUGGCAGACGUGGACCUGAGCACUUGGACAUUGUUCUAAGCAGAGAUUAACAGUCCUCAGCUUUCUGCCUUGCACAUAACUGGCUGGCCCGAGGCAGCUGUCCUGAUUGGCCAGAGCUUCCUCGCGCCCGCUACAAAGAGGAACCACCGGAGCUUCCCUGGGCCCGGUACUGGGAGGAGCCGCCAGAACUCCCCCGCGCCCACUACGAAGAGGAGCUGUCGGAGCCUCCCUGUCCCUGCUGUUACCCGGAGGAGCCACCCGAGCACGCCUGGCCGGACUUCCCCGAGGAGCUGCCGGACCUGCCACCAAGCCCUGGCCUUGAGGAGCCUAUGCUGAUUGACUGGCCUGGACCCGGUGCCCUG
Mauremys mutica (yellowpond turtle) is the source of this 618-nucleotide long non-coding RNA. RefSeq lists it as uncharacterized. Lineage: Eukaryota; Metazoa; Chordata; Testudines; Geoemydidae. The record is from RefSeq and is a predicted model, not a curated record. The transcript is spliced from 3 exons.